UUGUUGCCAAGGCGGAAUUACUGGAGAAUCAGGGGAGCUGUAACUAACAUAAUAGUCAUCAUCAUCAUCUUCACCUUUCUCAGGAUCAUUUGCAGAAGCAACUGGUGGCAGUGUCUGACUUUCACUUACAGUUCGACUACAUCCUGUGGUUAGCGCUUGUAAAGCAAUCUGAGAAGUAUCAACAUCUUCCUUGCUGCACGACAAGUCUCAAAUUUGGACAAGUAACAGCAACACAGCAUUAAUGACUAACACAUGAAUAAGCCAAGUGGGCCUCUGCAGUCCUAGCCAACCUCCUCUGCUUCUGACUGAAUGGCUGAAAAGAACUGCCUCUUCUUGCAACUGGUUAGGUAAAUGGAAUCAAGACACAGGUGGGUAGGACCCAAAGUCAACACUUAAACCACAUGGAUUAAGUCAUAUUCUCCAACUUAGCCCCUAUCGGUUAUAUUCUACCUUGGUGAUGCAAGUAGUACAGAAUACCUACUUUACUGGUUAAUAAAUAAACCAAUACUGAUUCCUUUGCAUUUUGCUAUCGGCUGUGUGUGUGUGUGUGUGUGUGCGCGCGCGUGUGUGUGUGUGUAUCCGUCUACUGCUUCUCUGGAGAUUCUUUAAAAAAAAAAAAAAAAAGGAGGAAUAAGAGGAACUGAAGUCCAUCUUGCACCCUAAUAACUAUACAAAC
Molecule: long non-coding RNA, 676 nt
Organism: Leopardus geoffroyi (Geoffroy's cat)
Lineage: Eukaryota; Metazoa; Chordata; Mammalia; Carnivora; Felidae
Exons: 3
Source: RefSeq, a predicted model, not a curated record